RNAcentral lists this ribosomal RNA (253 nucleotides) under uncultured bacterium. RNAcentral describes it as "partial 16S ribosomal RNA". It matches the Rfam family "Bacterial small subunit ribosomal RNA", at positions 524 to 776 of the family's 1533-position model. The record is from RNAcentral.
UACGUAGGGGGCUAGCGUUGUCCGGAAUCAUUGGGCGUAAAGAGCGUGUAGGCGGCCCGGUAAGUCCGCUGUGAAAGUCGGGGGCUCAACCCUCGAAUGCCGGUGGAUACUGUCGGGCUAGAGUGCGGAAGAGGCGAGUGGAAUUCCUGGUGUAGCGGUGAGAUGCGCAGAUAUCAGGAGGAACACCUAUUGCGAAGGCAGCUCGCUGGGACGUAACUGACGCUGAGACGCGAAAGCGUGGGGAGCAAACAGG